GUGAGUUUGCAGACUAAAAACUAAUACAUUUUGAAUUUACACAGGUAUUUGAUGCUUUAAGAACAACAAUGUUCAUUCUUGGAAUGAUUUCUGUGUUUGUGGGCAUUUCUUUGCUAGCACCAGAUGAAUCAAAAGGAGGUGAAGUGAAGGAUGGUUCUUUAGUUUCAACAACUUCAAAUUUGUCGCAGGAUGAGGAGAGGCUGUUCAUGCAAUCUGAAGACUCCCAAAUUAAGGAUAU
Non-coding RNA from Nicotiana tabacum (common tobacco), 238 nucleotides. The record is from RefSeq and is a predicted model, not a curated record. Lineage: Eukaryota; Viridiplantae; Streptophyta; Magnoliopsida; Solanales; Solanaceae.